RNAcentral lists this ribosomal RNA (448 nucleotides) under uncultured bacterium. RNAcentral's name for it is "partial 16S ribosomal RNA". It matches the Rfam family "Bacterial small subunit ribosomal RNA", at positions 29 to 523 of the family's 1533-position model. The record is from RNAcentral.
AGCGAACGCUGGCGGCAGGCUUAACACAUGCAAGUCGAGCGGGCCCUUCGGGGUCAGCGGCGGACGGGUGAGUAACGCGUGGGAACGUGCCUUCUGGUUCGGAAUAACCCUGGGAAACUAGGGCUAAUACCGGAUACGCCCUUUUGGGGAAAGGUUUACUGCCGGAAGAUCGGCCCGCGUCUGAUUAGCUAGUUGGUGGGGUAACGGCCUACCAAGGCGACGAUCAGUAGCUGGUCUGAGAGGAUGAUCAGCCACACUGGGACUGAGACACGGCCCAGACUCCUACGGGAGGCAGCAGUGGGAAUAUUGGACAAUGGGCGCAAGCCUGAUCCAGCCAUGCCGCGUGAGUGAUGAAGGCCUUAGGGUUGUAAAGCUCUUUUAUCCGGGACGAUAAUGACGGUACCGGAGGAAUAAGCCCCGGCUAACUUCGUGCCAGCCGCCGCCGUAA